AUUGAACGCUGGCGGCAUGCCUUACACAUGCAAGUCGAACGGUAACAGGAUAAGCUGACGAGUGGCGAACGGGUGAGUAAUAUAUCGGAACGUGCCCAAUCGUGGGGGAUAACGCAGCGAAAGUUGUGCUAAUACCGCAUAAGAUCUACGGAUGAAAGCGGGGGAUCGCAAGACCUCGCGCGAGUGGAGCGGCCGAUAUCAGAUUAGCUAGUUGGUGGGGUAAAGGCCCACCAAGGCGACGAUCUGUAGCUGGUCUGAGAGGACGACCAGCCAAACUGGGACUGAGACACGGCCCAGACUCCUACGGGAGGCAGCAGUGGGGAAUUUUGGACAAUGGGCGCAAGCCUGAUCCAGCAAUGCCGCGUGCAGGAUGAAGGCCUUCGGGUUGUAAACUGCUUUUGUACGGAGCGAAAAAGCUCUCUCUAAUACAGAGGGCUCAUGACGGUACCGUAAGAAUAAGCACCGGCUAACUACGUGCCAGCCGCCGCCGUAA
Molecule: ribosomal RNA, 493 nt
Filed under: uncultured bacterium
Lineage: Bacteria
Description: partial 16S ribosomal RNA
Rfam family: Bacterial small subunit ribosomal RNA
Source: RNAcentral